CUACGUGCCAGCAGCCGCGGUAAUACGUAGGUGGCAAGCGUUGUCCGGAAUUAUUGGGCGUAAAGCGCGCGCAGGCGGAUAGGUCAGUCUGUCUUAAAAGUUCGGGGCUUAACCCCGUGAUGGGAUGGAAACUGCCAAUCUAGAGUAUCGGAGAGGAAAGUGGAAUUCCUAGUGUAGCGGUGAAAUGCGUAGAUAUUAGGAAGAACACCAGUGGCGAAGGCGACUUUCUGGACGAAAACUGACGCUGAGGCGCGAAAGCCAGGGGAGCGAACGGGAUUAGAUACCCCGGUAGUCCUGGCCGUAAACGAUGGGUACUAGGUGUAGGAGGUAUCGACCCCUUCUGUGCCGGAGUUAACGCAAUAAGUACCCCGCCUGGGGAGUACGACCGCAAGGUUGAAACUCAAAGGAAUUGACGGGGGCCCGCACAAGCGGUGGAGUAUGUGGUUUAAUUCGACGCAACGCGAAGAACCUUACCAGGUCUUGACAUUGAUGGACAGGACUAGAGAUAG
Molecule: ribosomal RNA, 509 nt
Filed under: uncultured bacterium
Lineage: Bacteria
Description: bacterial SSU rRNA
Rfam family: Bacterial small subunit ribosomal RNA
Source: RNAcentral